This 459-nucleotide ribosomal RNA is filed under the name uncultured bacterium. Its description in RNAcentral is "partial 16S ribosomal RNA". It matches the Rfam family "Bacterial small subunit ribosomal RNA", at positions 338 to 795 of the family's 1533-position model. The record is from RNAcentral.
CCUACGGGAGGCAGCAGUGAGGAAUAUUGGUCAAUGGGAGAGAUCCUGAACCAGCCAAGCCGCGUGCGGGAAGACGGCCCUAUGGGUUGUAAACCUCCUUUGUCGGGGAACAAAACCCGGGACGUGUCAAGGACUGCGUGUAUCCGAAGAAAAAGCAUCGGCUAACUCCGUGCCAGCAGCCGCGGUAAUACGGAGGAUGCGAGCGUUAUCCGGAUUUAUUGGGUUUAAAGGGUGCGUAGGCGGUCCGUUAAGUCAGCGGUAAAAUUGCGGGGCUCAACCCCGUCGGGCCGUGAGAACUGGCAGGCUUGAGUGGGCGAGAAGUACGCGGAAUGCGCGGUGUAGCGGUGAAAUGCAUAGAUAUCGCGCAGAACUCCGAUUGCGAAGGCAGCGUACCGGCGCCAGACUGACGCUGAGGCACGAAAGCGUGGGGAUCGAACAGGAUUAGAUACCCGGGUAGUC